GGGGUCUCGCUGUGUUGCCCAGGCUGGUCUGGAACUCCUGGGCCCAAGCGAUCCUCCCGCCUGGGUCUCCCCAAGGUACUGGAAUUACAGGCGUCAGCCACUGCACCCAGCCCAAGGUGCAGGGAAUUUAAGUAACUUGCAUAGAUGACACAGCUCUGGAAGGAGGUUUCAAACCCAAGAAAAGAAACUUUCAGAGGCUUGGAAGCCCAGCCCUGCCCAGCCUCCUUGUGUCCUGAUGGCUGGAAGACCAGCCCAGCCCUCAAGAGGCUACCUGGCUGUGAUUAGUGGGAGUCAUGAGGAUGUCCAAGGACCCACUACACCCCAAGCAUGUGAGCUGUGGAGGAUCCCUCCAUUCGUUGCUCCAGGAGGAGUGGCCAGACGCUAAGGACUGGAGCUUGCAGGACACGGACGCCUUCGUGCUGGUCUACGACAUCUGCAGCCCGGACAGUUUCGACUACGUGAAGGCCCUGCGGCAGCGCAUCGCGGAGACCAGGCCGGCGGGCGCGCCCGAAGCGCCCAUCCUCGUGGUAGGCAACAAGCGGGACAGGCAGCGGCUGCG
RNAcentral lists this small RNA (559 nucleotides) under Pongo abelii (Sumatran orangutan). RNAcentral's name for it is "processed transcript". The record is from RNAcentral. Lineage: Eukaryota; Metazoa; Chordata; Mammalia; Primates; Hominidae.